This is a small nucleolar RNA of Lactuca sativa (garden lettuce), 107 nucleotides long. NCBI's taxonomy places the organism in Eukaryota, Viridiplantae, Streptophyta, Magnoliopsida, Asterales, Asteraceae. The record is from RefSeq and is a predicted model, not a curated record.
AGGUCAUGUUGAGGACAAUUCCUUAACAAACCUUUGUAGCGUUCCCAUGCCUCGUAAAGAGACUCACCCGGAAAUUACUCAAAAUCAGCUAUCGCCUUCUUGAGUUU